GGGCUUUACGCACCUCCGCGUCGUCAACUGACCUGUAGAUCCCCAUUUCGUGACAAAGCCACGCCCGACGUGCUCGCCAUGGUUUAGCUCCGUUUGAGACUUAUGAUCUAUACUGGGUUUUUAUUGUCCCCAGUUCCAGCCGGUCACUCUGCUACCCCCUAUUCGAAGUAGCAGCUCUCCCUUUGUCGGGCCUAGUGGUCGAUUCCGGGGAUUCACUGGCGAGUCACUAUUUCCUCCACCCCCACGUUUCUGUCGGUCCUCCCCUCGCAAGGCGGAAUCUCCCUUCGUUGGCGCUUUCGCCCCCAGCUGCUUCGCUUUCGCUCUUACAGCCGAACUCAUUGCUUUUGUAACCACUCUUAGGUUACGGGGCUUUUGGGUUCCAAAGGAGGCGUUCGAAUCCACCUUCCGCUUCUUCCGGGGGAAGGUCCCCCCGGGCUCGGUAGUCACUCUAUGGUGAGAUC
Molecule: ribosomal RNA, 461 nt
Filed under: Triticum aestivum (bread wheat)
Lineage: Eukaryota; Viridiplantae; Streptophyta; Magnoliopsida; Poales; Poaceae
Description: partial small subunit ribosomal RNA
Source: RNAcentral